Molecule: long non-coding RNA, 883 nt
Organism: Tupaia belangeri chinensis (Chinese tree shrew)
Lineage: Eukaryota; Metazoa; Chordata; Mammalia; Scandentia; Tupaiidae
Exons: 4
Source: RefSeq, a predicted model, not a curated record
CCCCCCGGGGGUGACGGGGGCGCUGGGGUGGCGCUCCCUGGUUCCGGGGCAACAGCCCUUUUUACUGCAGGGCAUCCUGGCCUCUCUGCACACCCGGAGCAGCCGCGACUGAGAGCCGCCCUGUCCCUAGCCUGUGAGCUGGAGAGAGAGGUGACCUGAAAUGCCGCGCUGACAGCAAGGGAAGCAGGACGACCGGCUCAGGGACAGGGCUCCCUCCAGUGCUUUUAAGAACCUCGGUGCUCCCUCCUACCCUUUGUCCGGAGCAAAGGGCUUACUUACAUAAACCUGGAUUUAUUCCCAAAAAAGUACUUCCUGUUACUUGGAUCAGAAGUCACUGCAACUCCUGGCACUGAGAGCCUCAUUUUUUAAAUUGUGAGUCUCUUUUCUAAUGUUCUAGGGAACAUGAGCUGACCACCUGCCCCGUGGCUUCAUCGCCCUGGCUCUGGUCUAUCCUUUGUACAUUUUGCCGGAAUGUCAUCCUGAACAAGAAAGUUGAGCAGGUAAAUAGAGUCUACUGGGGUGAGCUGUAUGAGAAACUAUGAUGUAGCACCCAGCCUACUCCAAGCACCUGACCACAUGCGCAAUGCAGGAUGUUUCUUGAACAGGAGCGUCUUUGGUGCUACCUAAUCAGAAUGCCUCACCGAGGACUGAAGAUGGGUGUAACACAAUGUCAAUACUUUGCUUUCUGGAAUGUCAUCAGCCUUGACUUGUGCAACAGAAAUAAAGUUAUGGGAACGUGCACAGUUCUGACAACAUGGGACUUACAUGGGCUAAGACAUCAUAAAGGCUUUCAUCAAAACAUCGGGCUUUCUUCUCCACCCUAUUCAGCCUAUGGACAUAAAGAAGUUCUACCCAGAGGUAAAACUGACCUCAGGUCUUGGUC